This 337-nucleotide unclassified non-coding RNA is filed under the name Hevea brasiliensis (rubber tree). The record is from RNAcentral. Lineage: Eukaryota; Viridiplantae; Streptophyta; Magnoliopsida; Malpighiales; Euphorbiaceae.
GUGGAAUAUCUCUCCAAAACACCACUCUUGAGGUUACCUGUCUUCUGGCUGGUAAUGACGUUUAGUGGAUUUUUAGGUCUGGCAAUCAGCUUCACUUCUAUGUGGUUUCUUCAUCAAACAGGGGCUACCACAUACAGCCUUGUGGGAUCACUGAAUAAGAUCCCCCUCUCAAUUGCUAGCAUCCUUCUAUUCAAAGUACGUACCAAUUUGGAAAACUCAGCAAGCAUUUUCUUUGGUUUACUGGCGGGAGUGUUUUUUGCGAAAGCCAAAAUGCAGGAAAGAUCUUAGUCCUGACUAUCCUGACUUUCUAUUAACUGUGGUAUACAUGAAAAACGUG